RNAcentral lists this ribosomal RNA (40 nucleotides) under Acer campestre (hedge maple). Its description in RNAcentral is "partial 25S ribosomal RNA". Lineage: Eukaryota; Viridiplantae; Streptophyta; Magnoliopsida; Sapindales; Sapindaceae. The record is from RNAcentral.
GCAUCGCGACCCCAGGUCAGGCGGGAUUACCCACUGAGUU